Molecule: long non-coding RNA, 729 nt
Filed under: Panax ginseng (ginseng)
Lineage: Eukaryota; Viridiplantae; Streptophyta; Magnoliopsida; Apiales; Araliaceae
Description: long non-coding RNA (PGIN_LNC012351)
Source: RNAcentral
AAACGUAAAAUCUUCCUGCAAAAAUCCCCAACAAACUGGGAGCAUAAAACUCCCCCUCAAAUGCAACUUUAGCUAAAGGGCAUUAAAGUGCAUUUGGAAGAGAUUCCCAGGCACAAUGUAACCUAGAAGGGACAAAGGGAUCACAACGGAUGCAAGCAACAAAGUGGAUGGCAGUUGUAGCUCAUGAGUAAAACAGCCCAAGUGGGUGGACUAAGCAACAAAGUAGCUGAAAAAUGCUUCCAAACCCUAAACCCAUGUGAGCACAAGCAAAAUCAGCUAUAAAUUACUAGCAAUAACGUGGCUGCCAAAAACAGCACAACUUGGGCAACCCCACUUGGAAAAUCAACAAGUAAAACUAGGAAACUGCCACCCACCAAGUACAAAUCAGCAUGGGCACAAGAAUGAGCACCAUGUGCAACCACCCAUACACAUUAAGAUGCAUUAAAAGUCCAAAGUUGAGAAUACAACCGUGUGCAGCCACCAAAACAAUUUAGACGAACUGCAAAAUUCCGAUAGAAAACACCAUGAUUUCCAACCACAAGGUCAAGAAACCCAAAUGUAAAAAUCUUCCUGCAAAAACCCCCAGCAAACUGGGAGCAUAAAACUCCCCCUCAAAUGCAACUUUAGCUAAAGGGCAUUAAAGUGCAUUUGGAAGAGACUCCCAGGCACAAUGUAACCUAGAAGGGACAAAGGGAUCACAGCAGAUGCAAGCAACAAAGUGGAUGGCAG